RNAcentral lists this ribosomal RNA (253 nucleotides) under uncultured bacterium. Its description in RNAcentral is "partial 16S ribosomal RNA". It matches the Rfam family "Bacterial small subunit ribosomal RNA", at positions 524 to 776 of the family's 1533-position model. The record is from RNAcentral.
UACCGAGGGGGCAAGCGUUGUUCGGAAUUACUGGGCGUAAAGGGCGCGUAGGCGGCCUUCUAAGUCGAACGUGAAAUCCCCGGGCUCAACCCGGGAACUGCGUCCGAUACUGGAAGGCUUGAAUCCGGGAGAGGGAUGCGGAAUUCCAGGUGUAGCGGUGAAAUGCGUAGAUAUCUGGAGGAACACCGGUGGCGAAGGCGGCAUCCUGGACCGGCAUUGACGCUGAGGCGCGAAAGCCAGGGGAGCAAACGGG